UGAAUCAAACAAUCCCUCCAUGAGAAACCAGAAUUUAGCACAUACCCUUCAGCCUUCAAAUGAUUAACCAGAAUUUCAUAGGCGCCAUAGAUCUCCUUAGAUUUCAUAUGAGUUGCAUCUUCAACUACAAGUAUUGCUGGAAAUGGAAAAAAUCCUAGUCGGAUUAUUACCAUAGGUCAAAACUUUGGAGCUCCAUGGGAUUUGCUGAAAACUUGCUCCUCAUCUUCUAGAAUUUUCACAUUUUCACACACUAUAGAAAGGUUGCACACCACAGGUUAUCACCAUCUCCCAGAUCCAAUUUUGUGAUAGAUUUUAGAGCCUUUUUUUUUUUUGGUAUCUUACUUGAGAGUUGCCAUGUAUGAUAGCCUAGGAUGCAGAGCCUGUUUUAAACUUGCAACUGUCAUCUACUGGUCAGGUCUCAUUUAAAGAAUUGAUGAGUCUGUAAGGUAUAUAUAUUUCAAGAUAUUAGUAGGUAGCUGAUCAGUCAUUUUCACUUGAAACACUGUGGAAGUAACCAAAGAGUUUUGGCAACCGCUCUCGCCUAUCGUAUUAAGCAUGUUAUUACAUUAAAAAGACACCAAACAAUGUUUUAUAGUAAUUUAGUGGGUGCAUUUCACUCAGAAGUUUUCAUCUUUGAACUGAUAUUUUUGUUUAACAGAUUAGGAGAUGUGUGUGUCAAAGGGGUUAUAUGUUAAAAAGCAACUUGGUUAGGUUUCUGCUAUAACAUUUUCUUUUAGCACCUUAAAGGUGGCCCAUCUCUACAUUUAGCUUGUGAUAUUGUGAGUAUUCUGAUAAAAAUUGUGAUGUGUUAUGAUCUUGGAGAUAGCCCAUAUAUUGUAGUUGAAGUGUUGGCUCUCCAUACUCUUCUUUUUUGAAUUUGAAAUUGUCACAUUUGACUCUAAAUUUUAAUUGUAGAAAUUGUUGGGAUGUCAUUUGUUUUUUAUCCGGACAGGGCCGCGGAGUAUAUUUGGCUCUGUGCCAGUGAGGGGCAUCACAGACUGGCCUCCUCAGGAUUCGAACUUGGGUCCUAUAGGCCUUAAGGCUUAGGACGUUCCUGGUACCAUCUGAGCUAGUAGCCUCUCGAGAAUGUCCUAAGCCUUAAGGNNNNNNNNNNNNNNNNNNNNNNNNNNNNNNNNNNNNNNNNNNNNNNNNNNNNNNNNNNNNNNNNNNNNNNNNNNNNNNNNNNNNNNNNNNNNNNNNNNNNCAUCUACUAGGAGGGCAACUGUUUGGGUUAAGGUCCCGAGUUCGAAUCCUGGGGACGUCACCCUCCAAAGGGCCAAAUAAGCAAAUGGCCCCAUAAGACGUCAGGGUCGCGGAGUAUAUUUGGCUCUGUGCUAGUCAGGGGCAUCACAGAGUGGCCUCCCCAGGAUUCGAACUCAAGACUAAGGUCUUUUUGGUUGCCCUCUUGGUACCAUCUGGGCUNNNNNNNNNNNNNNNNNNNNNNNNNNNNNNNNNNNNNNNNNNNNNNNNNNNNNNNNNNNNNNNNNNNNNNNNNNNNNNNNNNNNNNNNNNNNNNNNNNNNUCCGCGACCCUGCCCGGAUAAAAAACAUCUUAUUCCUCUUUUUGUUCGAUGUUAUUGUAUCUUGUAAGAGAUGACGCUUCACUCAUUUUGGUGUCCCAUCUCUUAUUGAAUAUCAACAAUAAUUUUAACUGUCUAUAUAAAAAAAAUAUAAAUUUUUUAAUUACAUUUGAUUCUCUUUACUAUUUUUCAUAUUAAAAUUUAAAAUAAAAAAAUUAUUUUUCUCAAUGUUUUUUCUUUUCUUGAACCAAAUAUACUAUUAAAAAUUAUAAAAUAGUAAAAUUAAUAUUUUAUAUGGAUUUAGAUUUUUUUUUUUCCUUUUGUAGAAAUUCAAAUUUUGUUUGAUAAUGUUCUCAAAAAGAUUUUUUUUUUUAAAUAAAUUAAAAUGAUUCUGAAUUAUUUUCAAAAACGAAAUUCUAUCCAGGAAUUAAAAUAUGAAGAAAAGGCUUCUUCUUUUUUCCCUCAAAAUUCGGGGGGAAUUAGGAAUAUUGAUUUCUAUAUAUUAUUAUUAAAAACAAAAAUCAAAAUCAUACCGUUUUUGGAAGGUAGGAGAGAAUUAAGGUAGAGUAGGAAUACAACUAAGAUUGACCUCCUUCUUAUUUUUUAUUUCCUCAAAACACCUAAUGGAAUUAGGAAUGUUGAUUUCUAUAUAUUAUUAUUAAAUACACGCAAUCUUGCAUGAGAAUAGUUUCAGUUUCAGUAAUGGCGGAGGAACAAGAUCGAAUAUCGCACCUGCCUGAUGACAUAUUGAUAAGAAUCUUGGGUUUACUUCCUACUAAGGACGUUGCUCGAUCCAGUUUACUCUCACAGGCAUGGCGAAAGCUGUCUCCUUUUUCCUCUCUCUCUCUUUUAAUGUUUCAGUGCCCGGAUUUUCUCGAGUCAUGUCGCAAAAACACUGAUGUCUCCUCAUUCAUCAAUGCCAUCGAUUCCUCCCUAAGACUCCGUCCGAAAGACGUAAAUCUUGCGAGACUUCGGCUCCAUCUGGAUCUCGAUGACAUCGAAUCGGAAUCGCUGAUAGACUCAUGGAUCGACGCGGCACUUGAGAGGAAGGUGAAGGAGCUAGACCUAUAUUUGCGACCUAGGUCAAUAGCAAAGCCUUACGGCUUGCCGGCUAAAAUUUUUUCUACCACAACAAUUACAGUUCUCAGUUUAGAGCAAUGCAGAUUGGAAAUCUGUGGUGAUAUAGAUCUUCCGGCGCUACGAAAGUUGUGUUUAAGACAAAUCCGGUGUGAUGAACAAGCAAUUCGGCAACUGAUAUCAAGUUGCCCGUUGAUCGAGGAUUUGGACAUUGCAUCUUGCGGUGGUUUGCAAAAACUUCAUGUUUCCGGGCUUGCUAAUCUACAUAGGCUUGAAGUAAUUUGCUGUUAUAAUUUGAGAAGGAUAGAAAUCGAUGCACCAAGCCUUCAACAUCUCGUCUAUCAUUGUGGACGCUUGCCGUGUGACAUGGUCUUGACGCCCUGUGAAUUUCUGAGAGAACUAAUACUCCAUGAUCCACAUAUAACAAAUGAUUUCCUCCAAAAUCUCGACUCUGGAUUUCCGAAUCUUGAGCGAUUGGAGAUAGACUCCACUCGAUUGCAAAGGAUUGAGAUUUCGCAUCAUCAGCUCAAGAGAUUAGAACUAAAACUAACUCCAUUGCAGAAGGAGGCGAAACUCAAGAUUGAUGCUCCAAAUCUCCAAUCAUUUACGUAUUCGGGCUAUAGAAUGCCUUUAACCUCUACGAUAUCAUCUAUGAAUACUUCAUCUCUGCGGGAAGCCGAGAUUCACUUCAGGAAUUAUAAUGAUUAUAGCCAUUUUUUCAUCCCUCAAUUGAAGGAAUUUUUUGAAAAAUCGAAGAAUUGCCAAGUUAUAAAUUUACUCAUAAAAUCCAAAGAGGUAAAAUUUCCCUUCAUCUCAUCCUUUUAUUUAUUUAUUUAUUUUAAUUACAAAAAGCUUUUUUUCUGAAUCAUUGCUUACUUUUUUAUUGAAGGAGCUCAUUAUUCCUAGAAAGCUGAGACCAAUUCUAUCUCCCCCUGUUUAUGAUAUCAAGCAUUUAUAUUUAAGGGUAUCGUACUGCAGUAGAUUCCAGUACAUCAUAGAUCGCAUGCUUUGGAUGUGUCACCCUCAAACUUUAUCAAUUCUAUCCGGGACCAAUGUCAGGUUCUUGAAGGUAAUAAAUUUUCUUCUUCCUCAAUGUUAAUUAAUUCUGGCUUUAUUUGAAUUAACUUAAAAGUAUCAUUUAACUUCUAUUUGGUGAAGUCAAAAAUAGAAAGUUCCCAAUUUGUUCUUCUUUAUAUAAACAAAGAGAGAGGUUUUAUAAGGAACAACAUUUUAAUGACUUUUAUCUUAAACUCUUUUCUAAGACAUGACCCCUUUGAACAAAAUUGGUCAAACAAGCAUAAAAACUCUUAUUGGGAUUAUGAAACAGUUUAAGAUUUCUUAGCAAGAAAUCCAAAUAGGGCUCAUAGUCUAACUAUGGUUAUAAAAUGUGAUUACAAUGCAGGUCUUAUAUAACAAGUUUAGGAACAAAGAGGAGAACCCCAAGUGUUGUACAUCUUGUUCCAUCAAAUGCUGGCGGCAUUAUUUGAAAGAUGUUCAAAUUGAUAGUGAUGAAAGCAGAUUGGAAAUUGACCAAAUUAUUGCGAUGCCAGAGUUAUCUCAGAAAUCUACGAAUUGCAAAGUUAGGUUUAGAUUAAAAUGGCGAUCUCAACUACUUUAGAAUAUUGGACUUAUUUACUCUCGUUUACUUUUUAAUAUAAGAUUUUGUAUUUUCUUCAUUAGGAUUAUAUUAAUGCACUGGCUUCUCAUUGAAUUGAAUACAUAAUUAAUUAGUUAUACUAUAUAUUUAUAUAUAUUUCAAAAACCAAUAAUAAUUACUCCUAUAUUAAAAAAUAAAUUCACCUUAUUUCAAGUUUUAGAGCAUGUCAUCAAAAACCCAAAAAGUCUGGCAUUUAUGCUUGACUAUUUGAAAAGUAUGUGAAUAAAUACUUCUCUUGGUGAUUAUGCUAAGGUUUUAAAAUGUUCACGUUACCCUUUUAGGUAAGUAGAUAAACACAUCAUAUUGUGUUAUACUUUCUAACAUAAUAACAUGCCUAUUUAUAAUAAAUUAAUCAUACUUGUACUAGGAUUCCAAUUCAUAUUAGAUUAGGAGUCCUAAUUAACAUCGAAAAUCUAAAUAAUUAACAGUUUUUAAUAUUCAUCUAAUUUCUAAAAUUCUUCUCAUUUGGCUUUAGAUCGGAUUAUAAUUUCAACAACCUCCCAUAAUUUGAAUUUGUGAAUUUGUUGUCAUAAAUCCUAUUUGACAUCUCUCUUACAUCCUACUUUUCAAUAUAAUAAUAAAUUUAUUUAUAAUAAACUAAUCAUAUUCAUACUAGGAUUUCAAUUCCUAUUAUGACUAAUCAUACUUGUACUACGAUUUCAAUUCCCAUUAGGACUAGAGUCUUAAUUAACACAAAAAAAAUCUAAAUAAAUAAUAAUUCAUAAUAUUUAUCAAAUUCCUAAAAUUCCUAUAAUUUGACUUUAAGUCAGAUUAUAAUUUCUAACAUUCAAUGUAUUUAAAUGAAUUGUUAGGAUAUUUUUAUUUUGAGGUAGCAUUGAAGGAGAUGAUGCAAUUUUUUUCUUGAGUAAUAUUAUUUUAAUGAUUUAUUGCAAGAAUGCAAAUGAUGUUUUUAUUUUCAUGCUCCAGUUUUCGGACCAUUUUUGCCCUUAUAUAUUGAGUGAAAGGGAUGCUAUGUUUAUGGUUGAAAUAUUAUCACCGUGAUGGUCCGUUGCAAGAGGGCAAAUGUUGUCAUGGAUGAAGGACAAAGUAGUGAUGUAGUUGUAUUUUGCAGCACUCUCUAUUAGGCCUAAUUUUACAAUUGAUUUCGAAGUAUCCAAUUUUAAAACAACUUUAAAAAAACAAAUGAAAAUAAUUAAAAGUAAUUAAAAGAUGUUAUCUAAAAAUAUUUUAUUUGCUAUUUUUGAUAAUAGAAAAUAGAAAACGGUUUUUUGAUUAUUAAACAUGUUUUCUAGUUUUUCAUUAUAAAAAAUUGAAUUUUUUUUUGAAAAACAAUUGUCAAGCAAAUCUUUAAUCUUCUUAAAAUCACUUCCAAACAAACUCGAGAUUUGAAAAAAUAUUUUUAGUAUGAAAAACAAUGUUUCUGGGAAAAAUUAGAAAAUUUUAUUAAAAAGUUAAUAAAAAAUCAUUUAUACUAUUCUCUAGAAAAAUAAGUUAUUUUUUAAAUAAAUAUUUUAAUUAAAAAUACUUCCAUUAAAUACAUUCCCACUUUUUAUAGGAUGUCAAACAUGGGCUACUUACGAAUUUAACAUAGUAUCCACAAAUUUAAUUUUUUUUUUUUAAAUAUAACUUUUAUAAGUAUACAUUUAUUAUUUAAUUGCACAAUAUUAUUUUACAAUAAUAAUAUGAUAACAUAUUUAAUUUUAAAAUAUAUUUAAUAUUAAAAUUAGAAUCCAUUUUAAUUUAAAAGUAUUCAAUUAUAUCAAAUAAAUAAUAAAAUAUGUAUAAUUUUUUAAUAUUUAUAUUUUUUAUAUUUGAUAAAUAUAUAAAUUAUAUAAAAAAGAUAGAUAAUUAUGUCUUUAUAUUUUUAUAAUAAAUUAAAUCAAAUGUAAAAAUAAAAUAAUUAAAAUUAAUUUAUUUAAUAAAAUAAAUCUUUAGUGUUCUUACGUAUACAUUUUGGUGUAUAACUUUUAUCAAAGAACAAGUUGCUCUAAUGGUUGUUGCAGAUUCUAUCCAAUAAAUGACAAAAUUUCUAUCCGAAAUUUAUAUCGGCACAUAUUGGAGAUAUUAAAUUUUCAUCCUUAAUUAUACCAUAGUUCAAUGUACUUAGAAUACUUUAGGAUGGAAGCCUGAAUGAAGCAUGACCCACAAGGACAACAAUAGAUCUUGUUAGGUUUUAGCAAUUGAUUGGUUCUUUAACUAAUUAAUAUCUGUAUGCUUGUCUUUGCGAAGUGUGUGCUUCAAAUGUGAAGAAAAUUUAUGAGUAUUAGGUAGAGCAUGCACAAAUGCUAUGAGAUUAUCCGUGCAAACUUGGUUGUUUAAAUGGUUUAGCUAUUGGUCCUUCAUUUUGGAACACAUGAUUAUGAAGAGAUUGUGUAAUUUAGAUGGUUAAAUCAUCUAAGAGCUCGUUUGGUAGUGAUUCUAAGAAGUACUUCUAAUAUUUCUAAUACUUGAAAAUUUUUAUCAUUCAAGUGUUAAAAAUGCUAAUUUAGAUGUUAAUUUUUAUCAUUCUAGAAUCAUUCCCAAACGCACUCUAAAUUACAUUGUCUCUUCACUAAAGUAUUCUAAGUAUAUUGAACAAUGGUAUAACCGCCUGGUCUCGAACCAAAAACCAGUGUGCCAAAACUUAAACAGUUCUUUUAGGUUAUGUUUGGUUCCAAAUAUUAAGUCAUAUGCUAACCCUCAUAAUGCCUUAUCCCAUCAGCAGAAUUCAAUCAAUACCUCCAUGAGAAACCAGAAUUUAGCACAUACCCUUCAGCCUUCAAAUGAUCAAUCAGAAUUUCAUAGGUGCUGUAGAUCUCCUGAGAUUUCAGAUGAGUUGUAUCUUCAACUACAAAUCUAUGAAGAGCACCAUCAACUGCAACCUAACUACAACCAGAAGGCUUUUCCAUCCUUUUCGCUUUUACCUGUCUCCUAACUCUAGCAACGUCCUUCCACCUUCCUGCAGAAACAUAAAAGUUCGAUAACAGAAUGCAUAAAUUGGGAUCCUGCAAUGCCAUUGUUGUUUCACUGAUUUUAUCAGUCAGUUAAAGAUUCCAAUGGAUGCAGCCAGGGGCGGAGCCAGCUAAUGCUUGUAAAAAAAAAACUUGCAACGCAGCUAUGCAAUUGUUUUUGCUCUUUUUUUGCCCCCCCUCCCUCCUCUCCUUAACUUAUUUUCUAGCUCCGCCACUGGAUUCAGCCAGCAAUUAGUAAAGCACCCCAGAUUAUAGAAUCAGGUGGAAUUACCAUGUUCUGGACCAAUUCAUAUGCUUCUUUGAGAUGCCCAGCCCGGCCAAGGAGAUCUAACAUACAAGCACAAUGCUCAAGUUUGGGAGACAAUCCAUGUUUAUCAGCCAUACUAGAAAACUGAACCCUUCCCUCUUCUACCAAUCCUGAGUGGUUACAAGCUGAUAAAACUCCAAUGAAUGUGACAUCAUUGGGCUGCACGCCAGUCCUCUCCAUCUGUGAAAAAACCACUAAAGAAUCACUUACAUCACCAUGGUAAGCCAGGCCCAGUAUCAUGGCAUUCCACAAGGCUACAUCUUUCUCGCUUGUCUUGACAAAAACCAAACAAGCAUCAUCAAUUUUACCACAUUUUGCACACAUCAACCAGAGUAGUGGCAAGAAUCACAUUUAGCUCUAAGCCGUUUAGGGUACAGAUGAACUUCUCUCCCAAGUUCCAGUGCCCCUAAGCCAGCACAAGCAGACAACACAUUCACCAACAUGAUCUCAUUCAGUUUCACGGACUGAGCUUUCAUGAGACAGUAUAAAUCAAUUGCCUCCUCAAGAAGUCCACACUGCGCAUAUUCAGAAAUGAUGGCAUUCCAAGAAGGCAGCUUCUUACAAGAAACACCAUCAAAGAUUCUCCAAGCUUUCUCCACAUCCCCGCACUUAAGAAUACAUGUCUACAAGAGCAGUAAACACGAUUGCCUUCAAAGGGAUCUUUUAAACAUCGAUAAAAACCGAAAGGAACCUUCCAACUCCAUAAUUACAGAGAGUUGAACAGGCAGACAGUAGGCACACUCUUGUUGUUGCAUUGAGUUGGACCUCAUCAGCCGAAACAAGCAUCCCCAAAAAAAAAAAAAAGAACUCAACAUCUCAACAAAAUCCCCUUCUUUCCCAUACACAUUUAUCAUUGCAGUCUGGCGAACGACAUUCCUUCUGGUUGGCAUUUCUUCGAACAACUCCCGUGCCUCUCAACCUCACCUCAGUGCACAUACCCUGAUCGAAUGCCAAGAAACCUCAUCUCUAAAUUCCAUAUCAACCCACAAAUUCUGAGUGGAAUCAAGACAAAAAUACUUACAACACAUCUCUAUUAAAGAAUUACACACAAAUAAUCAGAUACAAAACCCAAUCUUAAACCAUGAGUAUGAAUGUGUUCACCUUCAAACACCGACCUAAGGUUGAACAAGCUUUUAGAAUUUUGCGGAGAGUCGUGGAGGGUGUAGGCCCUGAUCAAGGAGUUCCAAGAGAAAUCAGUGGGAGAAGGGGUUUGAUCAAGAAUGAAACGAGUGUGAUCCAUUGAAUUGGGUUGAUGGGCUAUGAAAUGAGGCGAGUUUGAAGUGAGAGGCCAUGGCUGAGGAUUUGGGUGUGGAAGCUGGUGGUUCAGAGGAGGGAGGUAACGGAUGUUUAAAAAAUAACCGCUUUUUGUAUGAACUGGCUGGGAACGUUUUGCGCAUUCGAAACGGUGUCGUUUCACCGAAGUAGAAUGUGAUACGGUGAUGGUAACGUAUUUGUUGAUUUUUUUUAAAAAAAAAGAAAUACCUUUAUAAGAAAAAGAUUUAAAAAGUGAAGUAUUUCCUGAAAAAUAGAAAAAUAUGAUUUUUUUUAAUUAUAGGAAUUUAAUAAAGAGACUUUUUUAUAAUCCAAUUAUGUCAUACUAUAUAGUAUAGAAACAAAUUUAAUAUUAAAAGGAUAUCAAAAAAUAGUAAAAGAAUAAGAAAUAGAAAAAAUAACGUGAAAGUGAUAUAAAACUAUUUUUAAUAAUUCAUUUACCAAAAAUUUAUCAUAUUUUAAAACUAUUUAUUCAAUAUAUUUUUACUAAGAUGAUUAAUUUGUAAAAGAAAUAAAUAAUUUACAUUUUUAGUGUUAUAAAAAAUUUGCAAAAUACUAUCAACCUUAAUUUCAUUUUUUUUUUCAUUUUCAACCAUAUUUGAUUACUUAAUGGAUAAUUUAUUUUCAUUAUAAUUUAAAUUUUUUAUGUUUAAAAAUAAAUUUAAAGGACAAAUCAUAUUUGAUCUCUAGCUGCUUUUUUUCUUCUUUUUUUUCUUUAAUCUUGUAAAUGGGUGUUUUUAAAUAAAAUUCUAAAACUUAUAUUUUGAUUAAAAAAAAAAUGGUCAUAUUUUUAUUUUUUUAAAAUUGUUAAAUAAAAAUUAGUUUAUAAUAUUUUUGAAAAUAACCCUAAAAAUAAUCAUUUUUAAAAAUUAUUCUUAAAAAUUUUUAGCGACAAAAUCUUAUUUAAAAACUUAAAUAUAAAAAUAGUUACAUUCUUAUUGAAUUACAUCGACUCAAAGUAAAUGAUUUCCAAACUGUUUUCACCCCUCAAUUCUUGAUUAUCUCAUGUGGGCUGUAUGUACAUAAAUUAAUUGCCUUGGCCAAUUCUUCAUCUCUCAUGUGGUCUCUUCAGGGAAAUAAACCAACCCUUCAUGUGUUUCUUUUAUUUUGUUAAUUGUUGAAUGACUAUAGGCAAUGGUGCUUACUUGUAUAUUUUAUUUACAUCUAUAUAUAAAUAUUCAAGGAUAGUUAGGAUUUUGCUAAGAAACCUUUUAAAUUCAAUAUAAGAUAAUUAUAGAAAAAUAUAUCAUAACUUCAACGUCUUCUAAGUUCAAUCUAAGAUAAUUAUAGCAAAAGCUAUUACAACCAAGACAGAUCAACAUAAAAAAAACAACUAUUGCAAUCAUAAAGUCAAAUAACAGAAACAGAAAACAAGUUACUAUUACAAUCAUAAAGUCAAAAAAACUACAGGAAUAAGAAACCCCAACUACUGCAACCAAACUGCAAACCCAACCACAACAACCCAAGUACUGAAAUCAGAAACAUAAAACUGAAGUGCCAUCAACCCCAAUAUGGCACAAAUUUGGCUUUUAGCUUUGAGAUUGAUACCUCCACUCCAUCGAUUACAUCCGUGUAUUCUCCCAUAGUAAGAUCAACAUGAAUUUCUCUGCCAGAAAUCUGAAAAAAAAUAUAGAAAAACCAGCAUUAGUGACUCAGCUCAAAUUAAAAAAGAUAAAAAUGAUCAAAAUUAUGUUGAUAGAAGUGUACCGUUGUAGCCAACCAUCCACCGUUGAAUGAAUACUCCACAGGGAGUAAUCCGUCGCAAUGAAAUAACAUCAAAUCCACCUCUGUGCAGUGAUUUUGGCUUAAUGGAGUCCCAUGUCCAGGGAUUAACGAGAUCUCGCCAUGUCUUUCACAUCCUUGACACUGCAAAACCAAGAAAAACCAAGAAUAAAAUGAGAGAAAAAAAGAAAAAAAGAAAAUAGUAGCAAUAGCCAAACCAACAAAAGAAAACAAUGGCAGAGAAAAAAAAACAGGCAUAUUUUGAAGUUAAAAUUGAAAAAGGAAGUAAUCAUAAAAAACAAACAAUAUGAGAGAGAGGAACUAAUAUACCCACCUUUCUGGACAAAUUCAAAUUAUCAUUUCUUCGAUUUCCAGUGGGUUUUUCUUUGAUACUUAUAGAAACACAGGCAUUGUUAUGAGAAAUCCACCCACAAUAUUCACACUUCAGCUGCAAUAAAACAGAGACCAAAACGUUAAAAUACGUAACAAUGUUAAAUCCAAACAACAUUGAAAAUUCACCUUGAAAAAGUAGUUGAUGGUCUCAUCGUCACUACCAUCCUGAGGUUGGAGAAUGACAAUAUUCUUCAACUCAGCAGAUACAACGAGCAUGAGUUUUGGCAUUUUUCCUUUUUCUUCUCUUAAUUUUUUCUUCUUUUCUGAAUACAACGAGCAUGGUGAGAUUAUUACUCCUUUGCUCUAUUUAAAAGAAGAGGAGGACGAAAUGAAAACCAUGCCUACCUGCAUGUUCAAAGACUAGUGCAAGAAAAUGACCAAAUGACAAAACUAAUAAAACAAAAAUAUAGCAGCACAAGCAAAAACAGAAAACAGGACCAAGAAGAGGAAAGACUGCAGAAGUAAUGAGAGAAAAUCACUGUUACCCACCCCAGCAGAAGUAACGAGGAAAACAACUUUUACCCACCUAGUGUUUUCGCUUAUCGGCCGGCUGCGACACGAUAUUCGUCACCGGUCGGCAAAAAUUUUGAUAAUUUUUCGGAAAUAUCAUCAUAUUUCAGUAUUUAUCGGUAUUUUUACCGAUUUUUCUGAUAUUUCCUUACCAGUCCAGCCCACAGUGGGUAAAAGUUGUUGAGUCUCAUUUACUUUUGCUGGGUGGGUAAAAGUCGUUUUCCUCAUUACUUCUGAUGGGGUGGGUAACAAUGGUUUUCUUUCAUUACUUCUGUAGUCUUUCCUCUUCUUGGUCCUGUUUUCUGUUUUUACUUGUACUACUAUAUUUUUCUUUUAUUAGCUUUGUCAUUUGGUCAUUUUCUUGCACUAGUCUUUGAACAUGCAGGUAGACAUGGUUUUCAUUUCGUCCUCCUCUCCUUAUAAAUAGAGCAGAGGAGUAAUAAUCUUACCAUUUGUCUCCAAUGUGAUUCAGAAAAAAAAUAAUUUUAAGUUAUGCUCGUUGUAUCAGAGGAAUAUUGCCCUUCUCCAAUGACGGUUUGAUAAUGAUGAUGCCACGAUGUUAUAAAUGCAAACACUUUGUUCAUUUAGUCUCUAAAGAUACUUGGCAUACCUAAUUUCAAGAGCCUCUCUAAAGUCCUUUCAACGCAGCCACAAGCACAAGAUGCUACAACAUUGGAACAGAUCGAAACCAAGGAAAAUAAACUACAGAAAAAUACACAAAAGACAACUCCUCAUGAGUACUUUGCCAGUAAAAAAAGUCUCACUAAUAUAUCUCCAAAAUAUGAGGUCUUUAGCUACUGACCUAAAAGGGUAAUGUGAACAAGUUAAAACCUUAGUAUAAUCACCUGGGAGAAGUAUUUAUUAUCACAGUUUUCUAUUCCUAGGUAACCUGCAUGUUGUGCCAUUCUUACGCUAAUAGCUUGAACUGCACAUCUUGAGAAAGCAAUUAUUGACGAGUGCUGAAGGGUUUUCAACCUUCCCAUAAGAGGAAGUAUUUCAAGUUAUCUGAACCCACAACCCAAAUAUUUCCUUAUCAUUUUUUAGGGAAUGAAUGACCAAGGGAACUUCAAAAUCUCCUAAUGAACACAAAAACCCUUGGUGUCAUGCUCAUCUCACAAAACAUCAAUGCAUUGAUAAGCUCUCCAACAAUAUCCAAAGAGCAACACCCUCAAAAACAAAUUUCCAGACUGAAUACCAAUCUCUAACUGAUAGCACCAAUUACACAUUACAAAUGCAAUCCCAAGCAACAACAUAUCUUAACUUGCAUAAUAUUUACUUGACAAAAAGCCCUUGAGGCCUGGCUCUAGUGGUUUAGGGUUGGGAGGGUUUGUAGGAGGUUCUAGGUUCAAGCCCCAUUGGGACAAAAAUAUACCUAUACAUAUACAUAUAUUUACUUGACAAAGAUAAUUAGCAAUAGUGAUUUUAUUCCUGGUAAGCAUCUUGGACUGGAAAUAUGAUCCCCUGAUAAUCAAAUCAUAAGCAUAAGCUUCCAGCCUCACACACAACUUAGUCAAGGAGGACAAGAUUCAUUUCCACAACCAUAGCAAGAAAAACUCUACUUUUGAAGGCCAGUAAUUUAUUGUAACCUCAGCAUCACGAGCAAUUAACUUCUGACAAGGUAAAAAGAAUAACAUACAACCAAGCAAUAUUACCAAAACUUCUAGAGUUGCUCUGCCCCAACAUCUGUUUUAACUUUUAAGUCUUCAUGAGGACUUAGACCGAGAUGAACUACAUCCAUCAAACUUUCCAUUCCCCAAAGUACCCAAGCAGGGAGCUGUGGCCCAAGCUGCAAUUUGCCAAAUACGUUGAUGUAUCACACAGGUUCACAAAUCUGAUCAGGCCUCCAAUUCUAUGUCACUCUUGGUUUUGACCCAUAAUUUGUUGUCGUUGCUGCUGCUGUUGCAGGUUCUGAGGGAGGUUUAUGUGGAGCUGUCGAUUUUGGAUAGAUGGUUGAUGCUGAAAAAUAUUAUGAUUUUGAUCUAGAGCUUGAGGCUGCUGCAGAAGUUGGGCCUGAACAUGGCUUGAGAGUAGCGUUUGAUUCAUCGAAACUUGACUUCGGUUGCUGAGCAAUAUCAUUCAAUUGCCACUCUGACUGUACGAUAAAGCCCACAUUUGACUGCUUCUGCUUCGUCAACUUCAUGAGAAGUAUUUAUUAUCACAGUUUUCUAUUCCUAGGUAACCUGCUGCAGAAGUUAAAUGUGUUUGAAGUAACGUAUAAAAUAAUAUAUUGAUUUAAAUUUUUUUUUUCCUUUCCUUGGAUUUUUUAUUUCUAUUUUUUCCCUUACAUUUUCCUUCACCUUUUUUAUGGAACCAAACAUAACCUAAAAUAAUUUUAUUGAUAUUCUAAAGUCGAUACUUGGUAAUGGUAACAAUUUUUGAAAAUAAAAAAUCAUUUCUUAAGCUUAAAUAACAAGACAAAUAAAAUUAAAAAAAAAAAAGAAAAAAAAAAGCUUUCUUUUUUUGUUUUCAUAUUUGAAUUCCUAAUCAGAAUGUUACUUUUUAAAAUAAUUCAGAAUUAUUUUAAUUUUUUAAAAUUGUUUUUAGAACUUUGUCAACAAAAUUUGUUUUCUUGCACAAAAAAAUUCUAAAUUUAUAUAAAGUAAUAAUUUUACAAUAGCAUGUUUGGUUCAAGGAAAGAAAAAAUUAAAAAAAAAUUUUCAUUUUAAUUUUAUGAUUAAAAUAGUAAUGAGAAACAAAUGUAAUUAAGAUUAAUUGAAUUUUUUAUAUUUUUAAAUUAUUUAAUUUUUAUAUUAAAAGUUAAAAUAAGAGUAAUAAGGUAUUAAAUUUAAACUUUUUAAAAUUUAAUUAUGACCUCCUCUUUCCCUAAUUUCCCUAGGGGUUUUAGAUGAAAAGAAAAAAGAAAAAGAGAAAUUAAACUAAACAUAGAAAAAUAUUACAAAUAAUUUUUCAAAUAAGAAAAUAUUUUCUAAAUGUUUCCAAAUACUGAAUUUUUUUUUUCCAAAAGCAUUUGUUUAUACUAAAACUAUUUUUAAAAAACAAAUUACUUCCUAAAAGCCCAAGGUUGUCUAGAAGUGAUUUUGGGAAGCCUCUUAAAUUUAUUUUUUAUUUUUUAAAAAUAUUUAUAUGAUUCCUAAACAACCACUACUAAGGUGACCAAUUUUAAAAAAUCCUUCCCUUUUUUUCUUUCUUCUUCUUUUUUUUUUUAAUAUAACAGUUCAUAAAAAAUAUUAGCGAUAUUAAAUAAAAGAGGGGACACCAAAAUGAGUCAAAGGUCCAAUAUGAUAACAUCCAUAUAUCAGGGGAACAAAAAGAGGAAUCAUCCAUAAAAAAAACCUCUAAUAUCAUCUCUAUAAUUAGAACUUAGAGUCAAAGGUGACAAUUUCAAAUUGAAAAAAGAAGAAUAUGGAGGACCAACACUUCAACUACAAUAUAUGGGCUAUCUUCAAGAUCAUGACGCAACACAAUUUUUAUCAGAAUACUCACAACAUCACAAGCUAAAUGUAGAGAUGGGCCACCAGAAAAUGUUAUAGCAGAAACCCAACCAAGUUGCUAUUGACCCUUAAUCAAAACCCCUUUCCCCAAAGUGAAGAGAGAAACAAAAUACAACCCCUUGACACACAACUCCUAAUCUGUUCAACAGAAAUAUCAGCUCAAAGAUGAAAACUUCCAAAUGAAAUGCAACCACUAAAUCACAAUAGACCUUUCCCUAGUGUCAUUGAAUGCAAUAACAGUCUUAAUAUGAUGCAUGAGACUGGGUUGCCAAAACUCCUUGCUUACUUCUACAUGAGCAUUGGCUGUGGAAGCAACCAAAUCAGCUCUCUCAAAUGUCUUCCCUACUAAUAUCUUGAGAUAUAUACCUUACAGAUUCAAUAAUUCUUUAAAUGAGACCCGGUCACUAGAUGAUAGUUGCAAGUGAAAAUCAGGCUUUACAUCCUAGACUAUAUAAUACAUGGCAACUCUCAAGUAAACUACGAAAAAAAUGCUCUGAAAUCUACAACAAAAUUGCAUCUGAGAGAUGAUGAUAACCUGUGAUGUGCAUCCCUUCUUUAGUGUGUGUGAAAAUGUGAAAACUCUAGAAGAUGAAGAGCAAGUUUUCAGCAAAUCCCAUGGGGCUCCAAAGUUUUGAUCUAUGGCAAUAAUCCAAUCACGAUUUUUUUCAUUUCCACCAAUACUUGGUUACGAACCCAUAAAAUAACUUAAUUAUUAAUCAGCUUCCCUUUAUGCCUUUACUCGUAUUCACUUUGGCAGCUUUACUGAUUUUACCUCAAAUCAGUUAUUUGAUUUUCUUUCCUUACCUUCCCAUAAGGCCUUAUACACAGAAAGGUGCCAGCUUGCCAUCUGCAAAAAAUUCCGAGAAAAAAAGAAAAGAAACUAUCAAUUAGUAUAAGAAUCUUCAAGAAAUUACCAAUUUCAAAAAUUAUAAUGUCAAUAAGCAACAAAUAAAAUUUCAUAAACGCAUAGUAAGUGGUUAUAGCAACAGAAAAAUCAAAGCUCACAGCAACAAACUCGGUGGAAGCAUGCACCCCCACUGCUUGCACUCCCAGAACAUUAACAACCUCUAAUGUACACUGGUACUUAUUAUAAUUAACCACGUUAGCUAUCUAUAAGAUACCUAAUGCUUCCCUCUGGCAAUCUAUCAAUCACUUCCAUUGGCCAGCUUACUAACUUUAAGCAUAGCUACAUAGUCCAUCGGAUGUUCUUGAUUUCCAUGGAAUAAAUCCAGAAAGUGAUUCAUUAUCUUCGCAAAAAUCUAUUGAGUUAAUGUUACAAAUAGAAGGAAGAAAUUUCUCUAUUUUAACUUGGAAUUUGGCUUCUCUUAACACUAUUGAUGCAGUUUGCUAUUCUUCCUUUUUCGUAAAUUUUCCUGAAGGAACGCUUAUCCUAAGGAUAAUACUAUUGCUUCGACUUUGAUAGCCUUGAGGAGACCAAUGCAUUCAAUCCCCUCUGCAAGUAUUCCUUCCAAAAUAAGCAUAAUAUAAACAGAUAAAAUAUAUGUAUACAUACAUAUACGGUUCAAUCUGCCUGUAAACUGACCAUGCCAACCUUGUUUGGCCAUCAUUCUGACAGAAAUUUGAAUAUAUCCAGCUAAAAUUUUCGAGUCGGCUUCAACUAUCCAACCCAUGCAAGUGGAUGGACUCUUAUCCACAUCUUCAUUACUCUCCAACAUUACAUUCUAGACAUAACAAAAAUACUCAGACAGUAAUUCGUAAACUCAGAAUUCCUAUUUCCAAAAGUUCUUCCACUUCUCAAUUGCCAGGUGGCUCCCUAUUAUGCCUUCUCCUAUCAGCUGAAUCAAUCAAUCCCUCCAUGAGAAACCAGAAUUAGAGGCUGUGGGAGUGGAAGCAGUGGGGGGUGCAUGCUGCUUCUGCUGAGUUGGUUGUUGUAAGCUUCUGAUUUUUCUGUUGCUAUAACUCCUUACUACGCGUUUCUGAAAUUUUAUUUGUUGCUUAUUUAGUAUUAUAAUUUUUGAAAUUGCUAAUUUCUUGAAGAUUUUUAUACUGAUUGAUUGUUUCUUCUUUAUUUUGUUGGAAUUUUUUGCAGAUGGCAAGCUGACACCUUUCUGUGUAUAAGGCCUUCUUAUCAAAAGGUAAAGAAGGAAAAUCAGGUAAAUUGAUUGAGGUAAAAUUCAGUAAAGCUGCCACCACAGGUUAUCACCAUCUCCCAGAUCCAAUUUUGUGAUUGAUUUCAGAGCCUUUUUUAUUUUUAUUUUUAUGUAUCUUACUUGAGAGUUGCCAUGUAUGAUAUAGCCUAGGAUGCAGAGCCUGUUUUAAACUUGCAACUGUCAUCUACUGGUCAGGUCUCAUUUAAAGAAUUGAUGAGUCUGUAAGGCAUAUUAGUAGGUAGUUGAUCAGACAUUUUCACUUGAAACACUGUGGAAGUAACCAAAGAGUUUUGGCAACUGCGCUUGCCUAUCGUAUUAAGCAUGUUAUUACAUUAAAAAGACACCAGACAAUGUUUUAUAGUAAUUUAGUGGGUGCAUUUCACUCAAAAGUUUUCAUCUUUGAACUGAUAUUUUUGUUUAACAGAUUAGGAGCUGUGUGUGUCAAAGGGGUUAUAUGUUAACAAGCAACUUGGUUAGGUUUCUGCUAUGACAUUUUCUUUUG
This 17434-nucleotide long non-coding RNA is filed under the name Vitis vinifera (wine grape). RNAcentral's name for it is "long non-coding RNA (VVIN_LNC002729)". Lineage: Eukaryota; Viridiplantae; Streptophyta; Magnoliopsida; Vitales; Vitaceae. The record is from RNAcentral.